RNAcentral lists this ribosomal RNA (467 nucleotides) under uncultured bacterium. RNAcentral's name for it is "partial 16S ribosomal RNA". It matches the Rfam family "Bacterial small subunit ribosomal RNA", at positions 28 to 507 of the family's 1533-position model. The record is from RNAcentral.
GACGAACGCUGGCGGCGUGCUUAACACAUGCAAGUCGAACGAUGACGCCCGACCUUGCUCGGUCUGAUUAGUGGCGAACGGGUGAGUAACACGUGAGCAACCUGCCCUUCACUCUGGGAUAACCUCGGGAAAUCGGGGCUAUUACCGGAUAUGAGCUCCUGUCGCUUGGUGGGCGUUGGAAAGUUUCUCGGUUUGGGUUGGGCUCGCGGCGUUUCCGUUUGUUGGUGUGGUAGUGGCUCACCAAGGCGAUGCCGGGUUGCCGGCCUGGGAGGGCGUCCGGCCACACUGGGACUGAGACACGGACCAGACUCCUACGGGAGGCAGAAGUGGGGAAUAUUGCACAAUGGGCGGAAGCCUGAUGCAGCGACGCCGCGUGAGGGAUGACGGCCUUCGGGUUGUAAACCACUUUCAGCAGGGAAGAAGCGAAAGUGACGGUACCGGGAGAAGAAGCGCCGGCUAACUACGUG